Molecule: long non-coding RNA, 489 nt
Organism: Rhineura floridana
Lineage: Eukaryota; Metazoa; Chordata; Lepidosauria; Squamata; Rhineuridae
Exons: 3
Source: RefSeq, a predicted model, not a curated record
CCUGAGGAUUACAGCAAAACUUUUUCCCCUUGACCAUGUGGUUGAGCCCUUUUGUUCCCAAAACUUUUGCAGAGCUGACUUGGAAUUUUUUUUCUCUAUGGAUUAGCAUUAGGGUUUUUCCCCUUGGCCAUGUGGUGGAGGAUUUUUUUUGUUUGUUCCCAAAACGUUUACAGAGCUGGCAUGGAAAUUUUUCUGCUUUCUACGAUGCUUUUGGAAUUUCUAACUUUCCACUCAGGAUAACUGCAUGACAAGUUUAAGCUGCCAUGCAAGCCCUGAACAAGUGCCUGGAUACAAUGGUGAGCUGUAUGAGAAUCAAUAAGCUGAAACUGAAUGCUGGGAAGAGAAGAGGUCCUAUAGGGCAGAAAGACAAUGGGAGAGGAGUCAAUGAGAGAAGCCCAGCAUGAAGAGGAAAAGAAAAAAGUCAGCCAACAAAGAGUGUACAAUAGACUGAAGGAACUGUGAAAAGAACUGCUAUCAAUCUAGCAACAU